RNAcentral lists this long non-coding RNA (207 nucleotides) under Capsicum annuum. Its description in RNAcentral is "long non-coding RNA (CANN_LNC017300)". The record is from RNAcentral. Lineage: Eukaryota; Viridiplantae; Streptophyta; Magnoliopsida; Solanales; Solanaceae.
AAUCCAUAAAACAAGCUUAGAGCAUAUCCUAAUGAACCUAAAUAGUCCACUCUAAAUACUUAUUAGUCUGGGGAUAGAUGGUCGUACUAUGCUCCACCUUAUUACCUAACUCUUCCUGGAAAAGCUUUUCAAAAUCUAUAGAUGAACACUGAAGCUUGGUCAGAAAUUACAUAUAUAUAGGCUCACAAUGCAAGCGAACUAUCUUAG